CAAUGGCUGCAGUUGGAGAAACCAUCUAUGUAUUUGGUGGAAGAGAUGUUGAACACACAGAACUCAAUGAGCUCUAUUCUUUUGAUACUAAGACCAACACUUGGGCCUUGAUUUCAAGAGGAGAUAUUGGGCCUCCUCACCGGAGUUACCAUUCCGUGACAGCCGAUGACCGACAUGUGUAUGUUUUCGGCGGCUGUGGGGUCACUGGAAGGCUCAAUGAUUUAUGGGCGUUUGAUGUUGUUGAUGGCAAGUGGGUGGAAUUUCCAUCUCCCGGUGAAACUUGCAAGGGAAGAGGUGGGCCGGGCCUAACAGUUUCCCAAGGAAAAAUAUGGGUUGUUUAUGGUUUUGCGGGAAUGGAAGUCGAUGACGUGCAUUGCUUUGAUCUGGCUCAUAAAACAUGGGCCCAAGUGGAAACAGGUGGGCUCAAACCGACUGCUCGUAGUGUGUUUUCAACUUGUUUGACUGGGAAACACAUAAUUGUAUAUGGUGGGGAAAUAGACCCUAGUGAC
This 509-nucleotide long non-coding RNA is filed under the name Lathyrus oleraceus (garden pea). Its description in RNAcentral is "Pisum sativum (pea) long non-coding RNA (PSAT_LNC000176)". Lineage: Eukaryota; Viridiplantae; Streptophyta; Magnoliopsida; Fabales; Fabaceae. The record is from RNAcentral.